RNAcentral lists this ribosomal RNA (497 nucleotides) under uncultured bacterium. RNAcentral describes it as "partial 16S ribosomal RNA". It matches the Rfam family "Bacterial small subunit ribosomal RNA", at positions 28 to 507 of the family's 1533-position model. The record is from RNAcentral.
GAUGAACGCUGGCGGCGUGCCUAAUACAUGCAAGUCGAGCGAACGGACGAGAAGCUUGCUUUUCUGAUGUUAGCGGCGGACGGGUGAGUAACACGUGGAUAACCUACCUAUAAGACUGGGAUAACUUCGGGAAACCGGAGCUAAUACCGGAUAAUAUUUUGAACCGCAUGGUUCAAAAGUGAAAGACGGUCUUGCUGUCACUUAUAGAUGGAUCCGCGCUGCAUUAGCUAGUUGGUAAGGUAACGGCUUACCAAGGCAACGAUGCAUAGCCGACCUGAGAGGGUGAUCGGCCACACUGGAACUGAGACAUGGUCCCGACUCCUACGGGAGGCAGCAGUAGGGAAUCUUCCGCAAUGGGCGAAAGCCUGACGGAGCAACGCCGCGUGAGUGAUGAAGGUCUUCGGAUCGUAAAACUCUGUUAUUAGGGAAGAACAUAUGUGUAAGUAACUGUGCACAUCUUGACGGUACCUAAUCAGAAAGCCACGGCUAACUACGUG